GGGGGUAUAGCUCAGUGGUAGAGCCGUGCUUGGCACGCACAAGGUCCUGGGUUCAUUCCCCAGUGCCUCCA
RNAcentral lists this transfer RNA (71 nucleotides) under Camelus bactrianus (Bactrian camel). It matches the Rfam family "tRNA". From Rfam's summary of the family: Transfer RNA (tRNA) molecules are approximately 80 nucleotides in length. Their secondary structure includes four short double-helical elements and three loops (D, anti-codon, and T loops). Lineage: Eukaryota; Metazoa; Chordata; Mammalia; Artiodactyla; Camelidae. The record is from Rfam by way of RNAcentral. RNAcentral also lists the same sequence under 2 other names.